Long non-coding RNA from Cygnus olor (mute swan), 7906 nucleotides. RefSeq lists it as uncharacterized. The transcript has 3 exons. The record is from RefSeq and is a predicted model, not a curated record. Lineage: Eukaryota; Metazoa; Chordata; Aves; Anseriformes; Anatidae.
AGCAGGAAGCAGUAUACAAAUUAAGAGAGCUAAUAAGUACCUUCCCCUAUCAGGUUAUAAUUGGCUAGAAAAUGGAAGAUUUCAAUAAAUUAGGGAUACUAGAAUUCAGAUGAAAGUUGCAAAAGAAAAAACUAGAUAGGCAAUGCUAGAGAUGGCAGGUUCUGGAGAAAAGUAGUAGUAAGGACCAUAGACUUUAGGGAACAGAAAUUGCUUAAAUGUUAGAUUUGACCUUGUAUAUUAAGCUGUAGAGGUGAAGGAAAGAGCUAGGCUUUUGAAUUUAAAAGACUCAGUUUCCACAGAAUGAGGGAAAAGAUAGGCAUAGAUAAUUGGAUGCUGUUACUGUAGGGUCAUGGUGGAGGCAGGAAGGUUAGCAUGAAGUAGACUGCAAGGACCCCAGGAAAAUGAUUAUAUAUUCACAUCAUAACAUCUUAGAGGUGCGUGGAAAAUAUUGUGCUGAAGAUACACCAGCUUACUACAAGGGUCUUACGUCAUGUCUUCAACAGAGUUCCCACAAACAAGGUUUUCAAAUAAUAGUGAAGAUAAUACCAGAUAUUUCAGAUAUCUUCAGAUACCUGAAGAUACCAGGUUUUCAAAUAAUAAUGAAGAUCCUAAAAUACAACAGCAGGUUCAGAGCAACGUAUCUUCUCUUUCGGGGAUGGUGACCUCUAGGCUUCAUUAAGAGUUGAUGAAGAGAGACAGGAUCCUCUGAGGCUAAAUAAGAACACCUGAAUUAAGUUUCUAGACUGAAUCUUGCUCUCUAGGAGAAACUGCUCCUUUUUACUGACUACGGAGGAAUCUUGGAAGACUUGUCUCCCUUUGUUGACAUGAUCCUUUGAUUAACUGCUGAAGACGUUAUAACCUUUUUCUCCUAAUGAGUUGCAUUAGUGUAAUUUAAAUCUCAUUAAGUUAAUUGUACUCUGUUAGACUUCACACCUCUGAAAAUAUGUUUGGAAAACAUGAGGGAUGUUUAAUGCAGUAAUGUGCUAUACAAAGUUCUCAGUUAAUGUUUGGGUAAAUUUUCCUCACAGUUAUGCUUAUACCUGGAAUAGUUAAGCUAACUGAAGGGAUAUUCCACAUAAAGUAUCAGUAAUUAUUAUGAAGCAAUUGUCUUUUUGUAUUGAAUAUAUCAGUAUACUUCCUAAAGAGCUAAUGCUUUAAGUGGUGGAUCUAUAAGAGCAUUUGAUCUUUCCAUACCCUGAAUUAAAAUAUUAUAUGUUUGAAUUUUGCCAUCUGUAACUGCCAUUUAAAAUAGAAAACAAAGUACCCCCAUUUCUGGGAUCCCUCCCAGGUGCAUUGGGAUAAAUGCUGUUGCCUUCCUGCAAAGGAGUGCCUACCAUAUCCUCUUAAGAUUGCAUUUCUUUGAGAGGUCUUCCAAAACCAACAAACCAACCCCCUGCCCAACCUUGGAAAAAUCUUGGCUACUGUUUGAGGCUAUAAGACAGAAAUAGCAGCAUCUGCUCUCCUGUGUUAGAAAGCUUGCUGACACAUUUGUGUUACUGCAAAAACUUCCCAAAGUUUUGCUUCCCCAAAGAAAUGUCAAGUUCCAGCCUUGAGUGAAUGUCUGCUUGCAAAGAUAAGCUUUGAUUGCUGCAGGUGCUUAGACCAGGUGUAGGACCUAUUUCUGAUGCUGGGGAAGGAAGGCUCACAAAGUUGUGGGGCCUUUUGGAGACUCUUGCCAGCAGCAUGUUGCUUUGACAAGGCAAAUCCAACCAGCUAUGCUGUGCUUGGGAUGGGAGUGAAAGCAGUCUCUUGGAUCCUAUUUCUUGUAGGUUUUCAUAGGACAAUAAUUUGUUUCUGGGCCCUUUCAGAAGGUGUGGUUCUGAAAUGGGGAAGUACUGGAAGGUUGGCAGGCACAGACUCUACCCAGUCAGUGAGUAGGAGUCUUCCUUUUGCCACCUUUGAUUUCCAAUACCUGUCUGUGGCCUGCUCCAUGGGCACCACCACAUAAAGUAACACAGUCUAGACUUGGCAGUGGGUAGAGUUCAGGCUAAGGAGAGGCAAGAAUAAGAAUGUGUCUUUAGAUCCUGAUUGUAAUCAGGAAGUCUUCAUUUUUUUCUUUUUUCUGCCUAAGUUAUCACUUUUCCACAUUCCAGCUCUCCCACAUUGCUAUUAAAACCUCCAUGAGCAUUCAUGGGGAUCUCAAAUAUUAAUAAAAGAAUGUGUAUCUUCCUUUCUUUCCUGUGAACUGUAGUUGCUUACCUUCCCAGACUUGAUUCUUGGUCAACUUCACAAAUCUUCCUUGGGCCUGUACCCUACAGGGUUGGUGAAGUCUGUGGUGGAUGGAAGUGAUGAGUUAUGGUGAAAGCUUUCUUAUGCAAGAGAUAACUGUGAGAAGCCUGUACUAAGUAGUAAAACUUGUGAUGAAAAUAAGUAAGGGAUGGAAAAGGAGAGAAGAAAGGUUGCUGCAGCAACAACAGCUGUGCAGGUGUUAAAUAUACUGAUUAUAAUUUUUAACUCCCUGGAGAAUGGAGUUGGUAAUGGCUUAUUGCUGACAAAGUGUUUUAGAAGGACAAUGGAAGCACUGCAUGUUUGGGUAUGCAGUAAUGUUACUUGUGUCUUUUCAAAGUUGCUUUCAAAGGAAAGCUGCUGUCAGUCAUAAUGCAGCCAACACUGCUUUCAUCGUUAAGGUUCCCUCUAUUCCAACAGCAAGGAUUUGUUGUUCUUCUUUACAAUAAGAUGUUUCUUGAAUUAUGCUGGGAGGAAAAGGAGAAAAUAAGCUAUCAAUAGUGUUAGUCAGGUUACUUGGUGUAGUACCAGAAAGCAUCAAGAAUGAACUCCAACAAAGGAAAAAGCAAUGAGGGGAAUCACCAUCAGUAGAACUCUCCAACUGGAGGGCAAGAAAGUCUGGGGAGAAAUACCCUAAAAAAACACCCUAAAAAGAGAGGAGAAACAUCAAAGCAGUCCCAAGCUGGAAAAAUUGCAGACAAAUAGCAAACAGGAAAUUUGCACAGAACAUUAACAACUUGUCAGGAGGUAAGGCAAGUGAUGCAUUUAUUUAUUUAUUUAUUUUUCUCUUGGUGUUUUGUUAAAGACAUCUUCAAACAGGAGAAAAAUGGCAUUGGUCAAAGUGUAAAAAGUGACCAAUAAGCAGGCUGUAUGUUAGCUCAAAAAGUCAGGCACUCAUCAGAUUUUCAUCUUACAGCAGAGAUUCAGGGGAGAACAGACUACAAAAGAAAUUUCUUUGUGAACUCUGAGAAAAUGCUGAAGGAAAAGAAAAAACAUUGAAAUGUUUCUUAUGAUUCAGUCUGGCAUAUCUUUGAGGAGCUGUAACAUUCCCCCAAGGAGGUAGAACUUGGUAUGCAGAUCUUCCUGUUGUCUUUUGACUCCCUGGUAUCUAUCGAACAACUGAGCCUUUUGUCUCUUUGCCGUUCUUCUAACCUUACAACUCAUAGGUUCUUGGCUGCAGGAAGACUUCAGUUUUUAACCUGUGUACUGUUGUACAGAAGACAGAAAUCAGAAUGGGUAUGCAAACCACUAAGUUCAGAAGGCUUCAGCCUCAAUUUUGAUUUCCCUUAUGCUCUCUUCUGCAAUCCCAGAACAGACCUAUGUCCAAGAGGGUGGCAGUUUGAGACAUGUCCUGUUGACUUCUGAGUGUCACUUAUUCAGCAUAUUUAAGUGUGAAUUCUUGCACAAUGUGUAACAAAGUAGUGUGAUUUUUACUCUUUGAACAAAAUGUCUAGUUUUCACAUGCUGCAGACCUUGAUAUAAUGUCUGUGUCCUUUUGGAUUCUGGCCUCAAAAUGCUAGGACUCUGCAACGUUUGAGUUCAGCUAGGAUGUUUAAGGCUUUUGAAAUUGUGACUAGGAUUCACUCUGAAAAAAUCCUCAGCAUUUUUCUCCCAGAGUUCUAAAGAUAAAUGUAUCUUUUCUAAAAGAUACCCGAUCUUGACUGAAAUAUUUCAGACGAAUAGAGGGUAGCACCUGGCACACUUCAUCGUGGGCUAUGAUUUAACAUGCCUCACACUUCGCUCUUUUCUCUUUCCCUGAAUAUAUUCUAACAUCAGCUUCCAGUCUCUGACUCGUUAUGCUACUUUGUUCCAGUCCUGAACUAAACUGUAUCUGAAAUCUUGCCCCCAGUUAUGUUGCGAAAGGUAAGAAGUGCCAGUCUUCUAAAGCAGACACUACAUAAUGUGGUAAAAUACAAUGAGCAGCCAUUUAUUAAAAAGAGAUGUACGUAUGCAUCCCACUGUCUGAUUUGAACAUCCAGAUGAUAAAAGGAGGCAGCACAAUGAGGAUGCUAUUUCAUUCAUCCAUUCCUGUACUUCAAUAAUCUGAGAACUUGAAAGGCAUAAAUAUGCAAUGAAAUCUUUAUUUUUUUUCAGUUUUUUAUAUCACAAUGCAUGAUAAGAAAAGAGACUUUAGACGAGGUAUUUUAAUAUUGGCCCUUUUUCAAUUGUUGACAACUGAAAAACAUACAGCAACAAUAAGCUAUACAACCUGACCAUGAGGCAGCUUCUAAAUAAUUACUAGGCACAAGCUUGUCAAUGCUUUAAUAAAGCGUUAUUAAAGGUAGGGGAAUAAAAUCAAAAAAGAGCUGUUUAUCAGCUUGCUUUUGUAUCUGGAACAAGUUGGAGCAGACUGGUAAGAGGCUUUCACAGAAUGUGAGAAAAUGCUACAGCUAAUUCAUUGGGUGGAUUGACCUUUGGUACUAUUGUUUCAGCAGUGUUUUGCAAAUCUUUUCCUUCUUCAGUGUGUCUCCUUUACCCAAUCACAAAGGCAAAAUGGGGGAGGCUUGCAUAAAAAAUGACUGAAAGUUGGUUUCUGUUGGGACUUAAACCUGAAAACUUUGAAAUAACAGCUUUUUGCAAAUGUAACUCCCCACAUAUUCCACCCCGCCUCCCCCUCCCCCCCAAAAAAAAAAAUUAAAAAAUGGGCUAGUCCUUUGACUACAAGAGCCCAAGCCAAAUGUAUAUAGAAACAAAGAAAGCUCACUCGAAAGGCCAGGAAGUACUGGGGCAAAAUUCAGUGGUGUUUUGAAACAUCUCUUAUCCUGCAAAGAAAAAACUUCUUAUUCAGGUUUGGAAAUCCAAAGCACAUUUAGUAUAUCUGAAUACAUAAAUCAAGCAAUACAAAGUUGAAGUAAAGUAGAAAGUAGACAGCAUCUCUUGUAUGAGGAGAAUUUGAGAAGUGAGACUACUUAGUCUAGAGAAGAGAGGGCUCAAAAGGAACUUAUCAAUGUAUAUGAAUACUUCAUAGGGUGGUGUAUAGAAGAUGGAGCUACCCUCUUCUCAUUGGUGUCCUGUGAAAGGACAAAAGGCACAAAUGGGCAGAAAAUUCAAUUUAAACAAGUGAAAAUACUUUGUUGUUGUUGUCAUUUUGUUUUACCAUGAAAGUGGUCAAAGAGUGAGACAGGUUUCUCACAGAGAUGUGAAGUCUCCAUACCUGGAGCUGCUCAAAACCCAGCAGGCUGCAGCACUGACCAACCUGCUCUCUCUGCCCUUGCUUUGAGCAGGGGUUUGGACUUGGCCAUCUACAGCUGUGCCUUCCAGCCUCAGCCGUUCCAUGGACAGAAGUCUUCCCAGCCCAGGCAGGGCCAUUCUGCUCUGUGUGACUGGUACCAGCCAGGUGGAGUGGCAUGAGCCAGAGCACGCACAGAUAACUUCCACGGUUAUGAUGUUAAGCAUCAUUUUCUGCCAAAGGCUUUUGUAUGUGCUCUUUAACUAGCACAUCUGGGCCCCACCUCCCAGCACGCCAAUAUGUUCCAUCUAGUCCUUUAUGAAGGCCUUAUCUAAAACCAGCAGAAGUCAAUGUGUUACUUCCUACUGACUUUUGCAGACAGGGCUUCAGUUCCUAAUCUAGCUUUGUUCUCUGCUGGUAGCAGAUGUGGAUCGUAAAGAGGAGGCAUUUUCCUGGCUAGUGGCAAAGGAUCUGAUGUAAACUGCUGUUCUUGGUCUCUCCAAAGGAAGGCCCUGAAUCUCCCCAGUAUUAGGGCAGCUGGUGGAACUGCUUGGGAUGCACAUUAAUCCCCCUCCAGAAUAGCUUGUCUGCAAAAACUAGUUCUGUGCUGUCACUGAAAGCUCCCCCACCGCAUGUGCAUGCGUGCAUGCACACACAUUCCUGCCAGCCCAUCAUCUCUGACUGGCAGCUAUUUUUAAAAAGCUGCCUUCUGUUUUGUCUUCUGCUUUCCUGUCUUUGCUCACGUGAAUCUCUCACUGAUGCCAUCUCUCCGUUUCAUAGUCAGGGAGCUUUUCCCCCAUAUAAAACUGCUUUGCUUUUAAUCCCACUCCACCAUCCUCACCAUCACGGGCAGCUCUUUGCCUUUCCAUUUCAAAGGACAGACUUCCAGUUUAUGUUGUCACCAGCCAAUUUCUUUAAUACAUAACCAUGCACAACAUGCCUUUCGUUUCCAACAGCGAUUUGUUUUGCAGCAGCCUUUGUCUUGCAGACACCUGCAAACUCCUUAUUGAUUUGUCCUGUCGGCUCUCCCUGCUUGGUAUCUGUACUGUCAGGGGCUCUGGCUGUUCACUUCCUGCAGCUUUUCUCUUCUUGUGUAAAGGUGCAGGUGGGUGCACCCGUGAGGCCUCUAUUGUCAGCAAAAAUGGUGGGCAGAGAGCAGAGGCAGAGUUUUGUAGUUUUAUUAGGGAAUGCCCACCCCCAGUUAAAAUACACUGGACUUCCAGUGGGGCUAGAAGGAUAAAUAACUUCCUUGCAGUCUCGUCCAAAUUUAUAUAUUUAAACAAAGCCCUUUUAUCUGUCUCUGCACCCAUAGAAAGUGCAAAAGGCUCCACUACAGCGCUUUCUGUGGCUUUAUAAAUACUUUUCCUUUCCUUUCCCUGCUUUCUUGUUGCAGCUGAAUGAAUACAGGCCAGGGUAGUGAGUGCCCCCACAUCCCAGUAGACUUGGCAUUAAAAAGAAAACAAAGAAGAAGAAGGGUUUGAUGUAAAAUGACCAUUUACUUCAAAAGAGCAUUGAUUGAAUAAUAGAUCAAGCUCCACUUUGGUGCAGUAUUUUUAAUGAAAGAUGGGCCUUUGCCUGCAUGCUUCUGCACAGUAUUAACUCGAGAGACUGAAAUGUAUCGAGUAUUCUCUCUAAUUUAAUAAAAACAGUGGUUAAUUCUCCUCUGGCUGCUUCUCUUUGCACUCAUUGGCCUCUAAAAAUACAAAGGUGAGAUUUAAAUCGAGCUCAGCCUUCUAAAGCUUUGAUCAGCAGACUAGAUUGGUUUUAUGUAGCAUAAACUAAUAGGCAUUGGGGUUCAGAUUCCCAGCUAGAGUGAAACAAAAGGCUCCUGUGGUGCCUGGAGCAAGGCUGGCUUGCUCUGGUGGAGAGCUGAUCCCUCUGCACAGGGGUAGGAUUAAUUCAGUCCCGCUGAAUUAUAACACCCAGAAUGGCUCAUGCUGUCUAGGGAGUUUGCCAGUGGUUUAAAAUAGAGAAUUUGGGAUUGUACAUCUUGACCCCAGUCUCACGUCACCACAGGAGGAGUACCCUUCUCCAGUCCCCCUUGCAGUUCAGUGCUGUUCCUCCUGUCAACCUGCACAGUACUGCUUUUUCUUUAUCUCCUGCUUCCUGUCCUGUGCAGAAUUCUUCCUUCCACCCUCUGCAUGAGUCUUGCUGAAAUGCCCGUGUGUGCUUCUCAUCGCCAUCUCCUCUGUCUGGCACUGCAGUCACAAAAAAAAAAAGCCAAGUUUACUUCUUCUCCCAGUUGCUGUCUAUGGAAAUCUUACCAUUUACAUGAAUGGCCAUAAAACCAGGGCAUAAUUAUUACCAUAAGCAGAAAUUGCAGCGUUGCUUUAGCCCAAAUUCUAAUCACUUGCUGUUAUCAGGAGCAGUAAGCUGGCUUUGAUAAAUUCCUUUCUCAACGUUAUUUUAUUAUAAUUAUUUGCUGUUCUGCUUUGAAUCUGCAAAUUAUCUCAUACAGUUAUAUUUACAUAUGCAAUAAAAACUGGGUACAUGAUCUAUUGUCUUGCCAAC